CUUUAUUGGAGAGUUUGAUCCUGGCUCAGGAUGAACGCUGGCGGCGUGCCUAAUACAUGCAAGUCGAGCGAAUGGAUUGAGAGCUUGCUCUCAAGAAGUUAGCGGCGGACGGGUGAGUAACACGUGGGUAACCUGCCCAUAAGACUGGGAUAACUCCGGGAAACCGGGGCUAAUACCGGAUAACAUUUUGAA
RNAcentral lists this ribosomal RNA (192 nucleotides) under Bacillus sp. 5mfcol3.1. RNAcentral's name for it is "16S rRNA. Bacterial SSU". It matches the Rfam family "Bacterial small subunit ribosomal RNA", at positions 1 to 185 of the family's 1533-position model. The record is from RNAcentral. Lineage: Bacteria; Bacillati; Bacillota; Bacilli; Caryophanales; Bacillaceae.